GACGAACGCUGGCGGCGUGCCUAAUACAUGCAAGUAGAACGCUGAAGCUUGGUGCUUGCACCGAGCGGAUGAGUUGCGAACGGGUGAGUAACGCGUAGGUAACCUGCCUGGUAGCGGGGGAUAACUAUUGGAAACGAUAGCUAGUACCGCAUAAGAGUAGAUGUUGCAUGACAUUUGCUUAAAAGGUGCAAUUGCAUCACUACCAGAUGGACCUGCGUUGUAUUAGCUAGUUGGUGAGGUAACGGCUCACCAAGGCAACGAUACAUAGCCGACCUGAGAGGGUGAUCGGCCACACUGGGACUGAGACACGGCCCAGACUCCUACGGGAGGCAGCAGUAGGGAAUCUUCGGCAAUGGACGGAAGUCUGACCGAGCAACGCCGCGUGAGUGAAGAAGGUUUUCGGAUCGUAAAGCUCUGUUGUAAGAGAAGAACGAGUGUGAGAGUGGAAAGUUCACACUGUGACGGUAUCUUACCAGAAAGAGACGGCUAACUACGUG
RNAcentral lists this ribosomal RNA (497 nucleotides) under uncultured bacterium. RNAcentral's name for it is "partial 16S ribosomal RNA". It matches the Rfam family "Bacterial small subunit ribosomal RNA", at positions 28 to 507 of the family's 1533-position model. The record is from RNAcentral.